GCACAAGCAGCGGAGCGUGUGGUUUAAUUCGUUGCUACACGAAGAACCUUACCUGGGUUUGACAUAAUGGUGUAGGGAUCCGAAAGGUGACCGACCUUCGGGGAGCCAUUUACAGGUGUUGCAUGGCUGUCGUCAGCUCGUGUCGUGAGAUGUUCGGUUAAGUCCGCUAACGAGCGCAACCCUCGCUGUGUGUUAUAUGUGUCACACAGGACUGCUGGUAUUAAGCCGGAGGAAGGUGGGACGACGUCAAGUCAGCAUGACCUUUAUAUCCAGGGCUACACACACGCUACAAUGGUCAGUACAAUGGGUUGCCAAGCCGCGAGGCGGAGCCAAUCCUAAAAAGCUGGCCUCAGUUCAGAUUGCAGUCUGAAACUCGACUGCAUGAAGUCGGAGUUGCUAGUAAACGCAGGUCAGCUAUACUGCGGUGAAUACGUUCCCGGGUCUU
Molecule: ribosomal RNA, 445 nt
Filed under: uncultured Anaerolineaceae bacterium
Lineage: Bacteria; Bacillati; Chloroflexota; Anaerolineae; Anaerolineales; Anaerolineaceae
Description: bacterial SSU rRNA
Rfam family: Bacterial small subunit ribosomal RNA
Source: RNAcentral